RNAcentral lists this ribosomal RNA (472 nucleotides) under uncultured bacterium. Its description in RNAcentral is "partial 16S ribosomal RNA". It matches the Rfam family "Bacterial small subunit ribosomal RNA", at positions 28 to 507 of the family's 1533-position model. The record is from RNAcentral.
GACGAACGCUGGCGGCGUGCUUAACACAUGCAAGUCGAACGCUGAAGCUUGGUGCUUGCACUGGGUGGAUGAGUGGCGAACGGGUGAGUAAUACGUGGGUAAACUGCCCUUGACUCUGGGAUAAGCCUGGGAAACUGGGUCUAAUACUGGAUACGACAUGUCACCGCAUGGUGGUGUGUGGAAAGGGUUUUACUGGUUUUGGAUGGGCUCACGGCCUAUCAGCUUGUUGGUGGGGUAAUGGCUCACCAAGGCGACGACGGGUAGCCGGCCUGAGAGGGUGACCGGCCACACUGGGACUGAGACACGGCCCAGACUCCUACGGGAGGCAGCAGUGGGGAAUAUUGCACAAUGGGCGGAAGCCUGAUGCAGCGACGCCGCGUGAGGGAUGACGGCCUUCGGGUUGUAAACCUCUUUCAGCACGGAAGAAGCGAAAGUGACGGUACGUGCAGAAGAAGCGCCGGCUAACUACGUG